Long non-coding RNA from Prionailurus viverrinus (fishing cat), 601 nucleotides. RefSeq lists it as uncharacterized. NCBI's taxonomy places the organism in Eukaryota, Metazoa, Chordata, Mammalia, Carnivora, Felidae. The record is from RefSeq and is a predicted model, not a curated record. The transcript is spliced from 3 exons.
ACCAGGCGGCGCGGGCGGAGGGCGCGCGGGCGCGCCCCUGAGGCCGCACGCCUGCUCGUAGGCGAGGCGUGGUCACAAGCGUGUGCGCGCGCCCGCCGGCCCCGGCCCGUUUCCCCGAAAUUCGCCCCUCGGCGUCGAUGCGCAGACGUGGGUUUGGGAGUGAGGCCUCAGGGACUGCGGGGCACAUGAAAAGGACUGUCAGUGGAGGAGUCACUCGGUGCUAGCAGACAGAGGAGAAUAGAAGCAUUCCCAGAGAACUUCCCAGAAGGUGAAGAAACUGGGCCCGUCUACUGAGGCUGUUUUCUUGGAGCCCACCGGAUGUGACGCUUCUAGUCUGCCGUGGUACGAAGCCACUACAUAGUGUGAGAAUCUCGUGACUGUCUGGCUAAUGGGAUAAAACUCCUCUCUCGGAGCUCCAAGAUCUGCUUGCUCACUUUGGGUGCUUUUUCCCCUCAGUCUUGCUGAGUUAACACUUAUACUGAAUCGCCUGAAAUCAAAUUGUAGAGAUCUUAUCUUCAGUGUAUUGCAAUGACCUUCUUAGCUGACCCUCAAGUAAUUUAACGCAUGUCCUAAUGUUCAAUUAAAAUUGCAUCAAAUAGGU